GUGGGGAAUAUUGGGCAAUGGGCGCAAGCCUGACCCAGCAACGCCGCGUGAGGGAAGAAGGCUUUCGGGUUGUAAACCUCUGUCCUUGGUGACGAAAAAAAUGACGGUAGCCAAGGAGGAAGCCCCGGCUAACUACGUGCCAGCAGCCGCGGUAAUACGUAGGGGGCGAGCGUUGUCCGGAAUUACUGGGCGUAAAGGGUGCGUAGGUGGCCUUUUAAGUUGGAUGUGAAAUCCCCGGGCUUAACUUGGGUGGUGCAUCUAAUACUGGAGGGCUAGAGUGCAGGAGAGGGAAGCGGAAUUCCUAGUGUAGCGGUGAAAUGCGUAGAUAUUAGGAGGAACACCAGUGGCGAAGGCGGCUUUCUGGACUGUAACUGACACUGAGGCACGAAAGCGUGGGGAGCAAACAGGAUUAGAAACCCGAGUAGUCC
Molecule: ribosomal RNA, 428 nt
Filed under: uncultured bacterium
Lineage: Bacteria
Description: partial 16S ribosomal RNA
Rfam family: Bacterial small subunit ribosomal RNA
Source: RNAcentral